RNAcentral lists this ribosomal RNA (79 nucleotides) under Actinomadura sp. KC216. RNAcentral's name for it is "partial 16S ribosomal RNA". It matches the Rfam family "Bacterial small subunit ribosomal RNA", at positions 1 to 79 of the family's 1533-position model. Lineage: Bacteria; Bacillati; Actinomycetota; Actinomycetes; Streptosporangiales; Thermomonosporaceae. The record is from RNAcentral.
UUAAUGGAGAGUUUGAUCCUGGCUCAGGACGAACGCUGGCGGCGUGCUUAACACAUGCAAGUCGAGCGGAAAGGCCCCU